UGGUUCUCAGAGGCCGGGAGACCUUCCACCUUCAGAAGAAACCCCAAUGGUCCUCAUGGCAUCCGAAGACAAUGGCCAAGCCAGCGAUCCAGGCGACUUCUCAUCCCGCUGUGAAGGAGACCGAGUCCUGCCUUCACCUUCUGCUACUUCCACUGGAUGAACAAUGAAUACAUCGUGGAAGAACAAAACAAAACAAAGCCAUGGUAGAUAUGGAGACAAGACAGCCGUCUGUCGGAAUCACAGAAUGGAAAGCUGUCUAGUCUUGAUGCAACAAGUGGGGUGGUGAUUCCCAUUGGGAAGCUUUUGAAAAGCGACCCUGGAAAUUAAUCUCAGGAUCUUACUGUUUUCUCUUUUCUGGUUGGACUUUUUGUUUCACUGCCUGGGUCCAGAGCAGCUCCAAUGUAAUGUUACAACUAUUCCUACCUCUCCAGAAGCACCUUCUUUUAAGUCCUUGUGUGCCUCCAAAAUGGCAGAACGAGAAGGCCAAAAAGAAAGCAACCGAGAAAGAGGGGAAAAGAGAGAAGACAUGAACCUGGGAGAAAAAACCUCUUAAGAGCAGCUUGGAUCAACUGUGAAGAGAUCUACACCAGAGAAGAAUUGACUGGUCCAGAGCCUUCUCUUGGAUCCAUUUGGAACUUGGGAGAGAAAAGAAAGAAGCAACCAUCUUAACUGCCAUUUCCCUGGUGUCGGGGGGAGAGAAGAAGGGCAGACACAGCUCCAUCAUGCUUGGACCUGGAAGAUGAAAGGCCAUCCAUCCCAUCUGCCACUGCCCUGUCCUUGGAUGGAGAAAAGGGUCAGGCAUGGCACCAUCGUGCCAAGGUCCAGAAGCAGAAGAAAAGCCCUCUCUCAUUCCCAACUGCCACUGACUUUAGAGGGAGGGAAGAAGCACAGAUCCAUCAUGCCUAGUAGAGGAAAGGCCAUCCAUCCCAACUGCCACUGCCCUGUCCUUGGAUGGAGAGAAGAGGCAGGCAUGGCACCAUCAUGCCAAGGUUCAGAAGCAGAAGAAAAGCCCUCUCUCGUUCCCAACUGCCACUGGCUGCAUAGGGAGAGAAGAAGCACAGAUCCAUCAUGCCU
RNAcentral lists this long non-coding RNA (1074 nucleotides) under Anolis carolinensis (green anole). RNAcentral's name for it is "lncRNA (ENSACAG00000028326.2)". The record is from RNAcentral. Lineage: Eukaryota; Metazoa; Chordata; Lepidosauria; Squamata; Anolidae.